GUCGAACGCUUUGUGGUUCAACUGAUUUGAAGAGCUUGCUCAGAUAUGACGAUGGACAUUGCAAAGAGUGGCGAACGGGUGAGUAACACGUGGGAAACCUACCUCUUAGCAGGGGAUAACAUUUGGAAACAGAUGCUAAUACCGUAUAACAAUGACAACCGCAUGGUUGUUAUUUAAAAGAUGGUUCUGCUAUCACUAAGAGAUGGUCCCGCGGUGCAUUAGCUAGUUGGUAAGGUAAUGGCUUACCAAGGCGAUGAUGCAUAGCCGAGUUGAGAGACUGAUCGGCCACAAUGGGACUGAGACACGGCCCAUACUCCUACGGGAGGCAGCAGUAGGGAAUCUUCCACAAUGGGCGAAAGCCUGAUGGAGCAACGCCGCGUGUGUGAUGAAGGGUUUCGGCUCGUAAAACACUGUUGUAAGAGAAGAAUGACAUUGAGAGUAACUGUUCAAUGUGUGACGGUAUCUUACCAGAAAGGAACGGCUAAAUACGUGCCAGCAGCCGCGGUAAUACGUAUGUUCCAAGCGUUAUCCGGAUUUAUUGGGCGUAAAGCGAGCGCAGACGGUUAUUUAAGUCUGAAGUGAAAGCCCUCAGCUCAACUGAGGAAUUGCUUUGGAAACUGGAUGACUUGAGUGCAGUAGAGGAAAGUGGAACUCCAUGUGUAGCGGUGAAAUGCGUAGAUAUAUGGAAGAACACCAGUGGCGAAGGCGGCUUUCUGGACUGUAACUGACGUUGAGGCUCGAAAGUGUGGGUAGCAAACAGGAUUAGAUACCCUGGUAGUCCACACCGUAAACGAUGAGUGCUAGGUGUUUGAGGGUUUCCGCCCUUAAGUGCCGCAGCUAACGCAUUAAGCACUCCGCCUGGGGAGUACGACCGCAAGGUUGAAACUCAAAGGAAUUGACGGGGACCCGCACAAGCGGUGGAGCAUGUGGUUUAAUUCGAAGCAACGCGAAGAACCUUACCAGGUCUUGACAUCCCUUGACAACUCCAGAGAUGGAGUGUUCCCUUCGGGGACAAGGUGACAGGUGGUGCAUGGUUGUCGUCAGCUCGUGUCGUGAGAUGUUGGGUUAAGUCCCGCAACGAGCGCAACCCUUAUUACUAGUUGCCAGCAUUCAGUUGGGCACUCUAGUGAGACUGCCGGUGACAAACCGGAGGAAGGUGGGGAUGACGUCAAAUCAUCAUGCCCCUUAUGACCUGGGCUACACACGUGCUACAAUGGCGUAUACAACGAGUUGCCAACCCGCGAGGGUGAGCUAAUCUCUUAAAGUACGUCUCAGUUCGGAUUGUAGGCUGCAACUCGCCUACAUGAAGUCGGAAUCGCUAGUAAUCGCGGAUCAGCACGCCGCGGUGAAUACGUUCCCGGGUCUUGUACACACCGCCCGUCACACCAUGAGAGUUUGUAACACCCAAAGCCGGUGGGGUAACCUUCGGGAGCCAGCCGU
RNAcentral lists this ribosomal RNA (1440 nucleotides) under Weissella confusa. Its description in RNAcentral is "bacterial SSU rRNA". It matches the Rfam family "Bacterial small subunit ribosomal RNA". The record is from RNAcentral. Lineage: Bacteria; Bacillati; Bacillota; Bacilli; Lactobacillales; Lactobacillaceae.